RNAcentral lists this ribosomal RNA (497 nucleotides) under uncultured bacterium. RNAcentral describes it as "partial 16S ribosomal RNA". It matches the Rfam family "Bacterial small subunit ribosomal RNA", at positions 28 to 507 of the family's 1533-position model. The record is from RNAcentral.
GAUGAACGCUGGCGGCGUGCCUAAUACAUGCAAGUCGAGCGAACAGACGAGGAGCUUGCUCCUCUGACGUUAGCGGCGGACGGGUGAGUAACACGUGGAUAACCUACCUAUAAGACUGGGAUAACUUCGGGAAACCGGAGCUAAUACCGGAUAACAUGUUGAACCGCAUGGUUCAACAGUGAAAGACGGUCUUGCUGUCACUUAUAGAUGGAUCCGCGCCGCAUUAGCUAGUUGGUAAGGUAACGGCUUACCAAGGCAACGAUGCGUAGCCGACCUGAGAGGGUGAUCGGCCACACUGGAACUGAGACACGGUCCAGACUCCUACGGGAGGAAGCAGUAGGGAAUCUUCCGCAAUGGGCGAAAGCCUGACGGAGCAACGCCGCGUGAGUGAAGAAGGUCUUCGGAUCGUAAAACUCUGUUAUUAGGGAAGAACAAAUGUGUAAGUAACUAUGCACGUCUUGACGGUACCUAAGCAGAAAGCCACGGCUAACUACGUG